This 669-nucleotide long non-coding RNA is filed under the name Bos taurus (domestic cattle). RNAcentral describes it as "long non-coding RNA NONBTAT019503". Lineage: Eukaryota; Metazoa; Chordata; Mammalia; Artiodactyla; Bovidae. The record is from RNAcentral.
UACCAUAUUUUGCAUAACUUCUUAAAUUGCUGAAUGAGUAUGUGAAACUUCCUAUACUCUCUGGAAUAUAUUUUAAAAUAUUUCAAUGUUAAGAAAGCAGUUUAGGUAAUAGAAAAAUGUUAUAAGUUGGGAGAAAAAAGGUAUUUUAGUGGUAUCUAACCCUUCUAACUAAUGAAGUUAUGUGGCCAGAUUAUAUAGCCCUAUUAACGUGAAUUUUCUUUGUAGUGUGUGGAAUAAGAAGUUGAGAAAAUUUUCUUAUUAAUCAGCACCUAUACUGUAUCUAAUAGUAGCUGGGAAAAAAUGUUGAGUUACAGAAAGUUUAAUUGUGUGCAGUUAAAAUAUUUUAUUACAUAUUUCUUGAGGAACAGGAGAAAAAGAUGGCAAAUAGAGCAUAUUAAAACAAGAGCAGUGACUUAACUACCAUAUACAGAAGUAUAAUUAACAAAAUAAAAUUUGUUACCUGAUCUUUCUAAGCAUCCCUCUCCCUACCUUACUAAAGUAAACAACUUAGAUUUUUUUUCUUUGAAAAGAAGCUCUGGAAAGUAAAACUGGCAUAGGAAACAAGAUUGCCAGUGCCUCGCCAAAGAUGAUUAAAACAAAUCUCUUCAAUGAUGGACUUUAGCACUGUUUCAAAUUGCUUUCAUUAUUGUAAUAAAAGUCAAGCAAAUG